RNAcentral lists this ribosomal RNA (194 nucleotides) under uncultured bacterium. RNAcentral's name for it is "partial 16S ribosomal RNA". It matches the Rfam family "Bacterial small subunit ribosomal RNA", at positions 338 to 524 of the family's 1533-position model. The record is from RNAcentral.
CCUACGGGAGGCAGCAGUGGGGAAUAUUGCACAAUGGGCGCAAGCCUGAUGCAGCCACGCCGCGUGUAUGAAGAAGGCCUUCGGGUUGUAAAGUACUUUCAGCGGGGAGGAAGGCGAUGUGGUUAAUAACCGCCUCGAUUGACGUUACCCGCAGAAGAAGCACCGGCUAACUCCGUGCCAGCAGCCGCGGUAAU